Molecule: ribosomal RNA, 862 nt
Filed under: uncultured bacterium
Lineage: Bacteria
Description: bacterial SSU rRNA
Rfam family: Bacterial small subunit ribosomal RNA
Source: RNAcentral
CGUGCCAGCAGCCGCGGUAAUACGUAGGGAGCAAGCGUUUGUCCGGAUUUACUGGGUGUAAAGGGUGCGUAGGCGGCAAUGCAAGUCAGAUGUGAAAUCUAUGGGCUCAACCCAUAAACUGCAUUUGAAACUGUAGAGCUUGAGUGAAGUAGAGGCAGGCGGAAUUCCCCGUGUAGCGGUGAAAUGCGUAAAGAUGGGGAGGAACACCAGUGGCGAAGGCGGCCUGCUGGGCUUUAACUGACGCUGAGGCACGAAAGCGUGGGUAGCAAACAGGAUUAGAUACCCUGGUAGUCCACGCUGUAAACGAUGAUUACUAGGUGUGGGGGGUGUGACCCCUUCCGUGCCGGAGUUAACACAAUAAGUAAUCCACCAGGGGAGUACGGCCGCAAGGUUGAAACUCAAAGGAAUUGACGGGGGCCCGCACAAGCAGUGGAGUAUGUGGUUUAAUUUGAAGCAACGCGAAGAACCUUACCAGGUCUUGACAUCCAACUAACGAAGUAGAGAUACAUUAGGUGCCCUUCGGGGAAAGUUGAGACAGGUGGUGCAUGGUUGUCGUCAGCUCGUGUCGUGAGAUGUUGGGUUAAGUCCCGCAACGAGCGCAACCCUUGCUAUUAGUUGUUACGCAAGAGCACUCUAAUAGGACUGCCGUUGACAAAACGGAGGAAGGUGGGGAGGACGUCAAAUCAUCAUGCCCCUUAUGACCUGGGCUACACACGUACUACAAUGGAUGUUAACAGAGGGAAGCAAGACAGUGAUGUGGAGCAAACCCCUAAAAACAUUCUCAGUUCAGAUUGCAGGCUGCAACCCGCCUGCAUGAAGAUGGAAUUGCUAGUAAUCGCGGAUCAGCAUGCCGCGGUGAAUA